This 253-nucleotide ribosomal RNA is filed under the name uncultured bacterium. RNAcentral's name for it is "partial 16S ribosomal RNA". It matches the Rfam family "Bacterial small subunit ribosomal RNA", at positions 524 to 776 of the family's 1533-position model. The record is from RNAcentral.
GACGGAGGAUGCAAGCGUUAUCCGGAAUUAUUGGGCGUAAAGCGUCCGCAGGUGGCUGUUCAAGUCUGCUGUCAAAGCGCAGAGCUUAACUCUGUACAGGCGGUGGAAACUGAAGAGCUAGAGUAUGGUAGGGGUAGAGGGAAUUCCCGGUGUAGCGGUGAAAUGCGUAGAUAUCUGGAGGAACACCGGUGGCGAAGGCGGCAUCCUGGACCAAUACUGACGCUGAGGAGCGAAAGCCAGGGGAGCAAACGGG